This 68-nucleotide transfer RNA is filed under the name Anatolichthys anatoliae anatoliae. RNAcentral's name for it is "Aphanius anatoliae anatoliae tRNA-Cys". The record is from RNAcentral. Lineage: Eukaryota; Metazoa; Chordata; Actinopteri; Cyprinodontiformes; Aphaniidae.
AGCCCCGAGGUGUUUCUACAUAUCGGAUUGCAAAUCCGAAGAAGCAGGGUUACACCUGCCGGGGCUUU